GGUUCCGUAGUGUAGUGGUUAUCACGUUCGCUUCACACGCGAGAGGUCUCCGGUUCGAUCCCGGACCGAACCA
RNAcentral lists this transfer RNA (73 nucleotides) under Trichonephila clavata. It matches the Rfam family "tRNA". Rfam says of the family: Transfer RNA (tRNA) molecules are approximately 80 nucleotides in length. Lineage: Eukaryota; Metazoa; Arthropoda; Arachnida; Araneae; Nephilidae. The record is from Rfam by way of RNAcentral.